RNAcentral lists this ribosomal RNA (421 nucleotides) under uncultured archaeon. RNAcentral's name for it is "bacterial SSU rRNA". It matches the Rfam family "Archaeal small subunit ribosomal RNA", at positions 459 to 880 of the family's 1478-position model. The record is from RNAcentral.
UAGCCGCCGCGGUAAAACCAGCACCUCGAGUGGUCAGGAGGUUUAUUGGGCCUAAAGCAUCCGUAGCCGGUUGCAUAAGUUUUCGGUUAAAUCUAUGCGCUUAACGUAUAGGCCGCCGAAAAUACUGUGCAGCUAGGGAGUGGGAGAGGUACACGGUACUCGAUAGGAAGGGGUAAAAUCCUUUGAUCUAUUGAUGACCACCUGUGGCGAAGGCGGUGUACCAGAACACGUUCGACGGUGAGGGAUGAAAGCUGGGGGAGCAAACCGGAUUAGAUACCCGGGAAGUCCCAGCUGUAAACGAUGCAGGCUCGGUGAUGCAUUGGCUUGUGGCCAAUGCAGUGCCGCAGGGAAGCCGUUAAGUCUGCCGCCUGGGAAGUACGUACGCAAGUAUGAAACUUAAAGGAAUUGGCGGGGGAGCACA